GACGAACGUUGGCGGCGUGCUUAAUACAUGCAAGUCCACUGAAGCAGUGGUAGCAAUAUCGCUGUGGAGGUGGCGCACGGGUGAGUAACACGUAGGUAAUCUGCCUUCAGGUCUGGCAUAGCUCCGGGAAACCGGGGCUAAUAGCAGAUGAUGCAGCGGCUCGACAUCGAGACAGUUGUUAAAGCUAUGGCGCCUGAAGAUGAGCCUGCGUCUGAUUAGCUAGUUGGCGGGGUAACGGCCCACCAAGGCAACGAUCAGUAGCUGGUCUGAGAGGAUGAUCAGCCACACUGGAACUGAGACACGGUCCAGACUCCUACGGGAGGCAGCAGUAAGGAAUAUUGCUCAAUGGGAGAAAUCCUGAAGCAGCAACGCCGCGUGAGGGACGAAGGGCUUUUGCUUGUAAACCUCUGUAGUGAGAGAAAAAAAUCCCAAUCUUUGGGACAUGAUGGUAUCUCAAAAGUAAGCCCCGGCUAACUACGUG
This 481-nucleotide ribosomal RNA is filed under the name uncultured bacterium. RNAcentral's name for it is "partial 16S ribosomal RNA". It matches the Rfam family "Bacterial small subunit ribosomal RNA", at positions 28 to 507 of the family's 1533-position model. The record is from RNAcentral.